UUUAGGAGCUAGCCUUUAAAAUGCCCUGUGCCGUUGACCUCUCCCUGUAAGCAGGCGUCAGGUCUCCCCUUUCUAGCCUCUUUUGGGCCGCUGGCACUUGCUGGGCAAAGAGACCACCCUCUACUGAGCGGAAUGGAGGUCUCUCCUUUUCAGCGCUUUAGCCUCUGGCCUAAUGUAAUGCCCCUGGCUUAAGGACCACCCUGUAAGGAGGGUUUGGGUCUGCUUUAUCAUGCUGCUUUAGCCACAGGUUGCUUUGACAUGCCAGGCAGAAGGACCCGCCCUGUAAGCAGGUGGUAAGGUCUUCUCCCUCUCCCUCUUAAACCAGUGGGGCUUUUAGGUGCCUGUGGCUGAGGGAGCACCCUUUAAGAAGGGUUGCGCCUCUCUCUUUUUCUCUUAGUCCUAGUAAACUGCCCGAGAAGUGAUUUCUCCUUGGCUUUUUUGAAAUUUGCAGUCCAAUCGUAUUUGUGACCUCUUGAA
This is a long non-coding RNA of Gopherus flavomarginatus (Mexican gopher tortoise), 477 nucleotides long. RefSeq lists it as uncharacterized. NCBI's taxonomy places the organism in Eukaryota, Metazoa, Chordata, Testudines, Testudinidae. The record is from RefSeq and is a predicted model, not a curated record. The transcript has 3 exons.